CAGCUCUCCGAGUGGUAGGGAUGAUUAUUGGGCUUAAAGCGUCCGUAGCCGGCUUAGCAAGUCUCCUGUUAAAUUCAGCGACUUAAUCGUUGAGCCGCGGGAGAUACUACUGGGCUAGGAGGCGGGAGAGGUCGACGGUACUUCCGGGGUAGGGGUGAAAUCCUAUAAUCCCGGGAGGACCACCAGUGGCGAAGGCUGUCGACUAGAACGCGCUCGACGGUGAGGGACGAAAGCUGGGGGAACGAACCGGAUUAGAUACCCGAGUAGUCC
Molecule: ribosomal RNA, 270 nt
Filed under: uncultured archaeon
Lineage: Archaea
Description: partial 16S ribosomal RNA
Rfam family: Archaeal small subunit ribosomal RNA
Source: RNAcentral